AUCUAAUGUAUUUCAGUACAAUGCAGUCACGAUUUACCAGUUGAUGUUCAAUGUUGGAACAAGACUCAGAUCCCAGAAGUAGUUUAGUCAAGAUGGAUGACAGGGGUGACAGUGCUCCUUGCAGCCUUCUGCUUCACCAGGGGUACAGCUAUCCUCAUGGAGCUCACAAUACCGGCCUUCGCAAUUACAUUCAGGAUUCCCACACUGGAUUACAACCUGCCUUCAUAUAUGAGAUGUUGAAGCUUUCAAUGAGGUCACACCAGACACUGACAAGCGCUGAUGGAGAAGGGUAAAAAGAAUUCCUGGGUGUCCCUGGGCAACAUAUAUUACAAAAGACCCUGAAAGUAAUCAGAGGAAACGUACAUCUGGCAAAAAGAGAAUUUUUUUCAAGUUCUGAAAAUAUUUCAAAGCAAAACCAUUGCAGAGAUCCAUCGAGGAGGCCUCACCAGCAGAAGACAUGCCUACCUAGAGUCCCUUGGAAACCUGUUUGACUCAGGUGGAAAUGACCUACUGGCAUUUAUUUGUAAUUGCCCAGCAUGGCAGUUGCUGAGGAAGGAAAAGCUGUUGAGUCAUACGGCAAGCCGCUUUUCCACUUUUGUCUAGUUGCCCAGAGGGUAGAGUGGGACAGUCAGAAGGCUGAGAUUCUGUUUAUGCCUCUGACACUGAUUUCCCAUACGACCUUGGCAAGUACUACUUCUUGUGCCACUGUUUCCCCAUUUCUUAAUAGAUAAAACCACUCCCUUGACUCAUGGGACAAUCAUAAGUGCACAGCAAGGAACAUGUUUGUUUAACUAAUGAAAGGUAAGAGAGAAGAGUGAAGAGUUAUUAUUGUUGUCAUAUAAUACAAAAGCAGUUAUGUAACAACAUCAGUAUUGCUUCAUUUUAGCCAUUAUGACAUAACAAACUGUCAGAGGCAUACUGUCUGACAUAGUAUCUUCAUC
Molecule: long non-coding RNA, 941 nt
Organism: Aquila chrysaetos chrysaetos
Lineage: Eukaryota; Metazoa; Chordata; Aves; Accipitriformes; Accipitridae
Exons: 3
Source: RefSeq, a predicted model, not a curated record